RNAcentral lists this ribosomal RNA (333 nucleotides) under Triticum aestivum (bread wheat). RNAcentral's name for it is "partial small subunit ribosomal RNA". The record is from RNAcentral. Lineage: Eukaryota; Viridiplantae; Streptophyta; Magnoliopsida; Poales; Poaceae.
AUGAGAGGCCUCAUUUGGAACUGUAGAGGGGCAGGCAAGAAAGGGAUGGCCACCUGCCUCUCUGACCUGAUUAGUGACCAUUCCUUAGACUUUGGAGACUAUGAAAAAAAGUUUUCCCCUAAAUGCAUUAGGAGGAUUGAUCCUUUUGGUCUGUUUCAUUGGGAAUGGAUCCCAUCUGCUGGGAAAUCUGGGGGUAUCCUGAGUGGUGUGAGACAUGAUACUUUUGAUGUUAUUUCCUGUAAUAAAGGCAAAUAUAUUUUGCAAAUGGUGAUACGUGACAAAAAGAUUAAGAAAGACUGGGGGUCUCAUGGUAGUGUAUGGAUCUGCUCAUGA